GGGAACAAUGUUCAUGUUGAUCACUUCUCCAAAAUAAUCACUUAAGUCAUACUUAUUCAAAUAGACCCUAGAAACCUCUUUUGCUUAGGCUUUUAAAAGGUAUUUCAUAAAAUGUUUGCAUGUCAAAACUUCCUACAGCAAAGUUGUAGCAAAUUUUAUAAGGAACAAAAGUUGUUUUAUGGCCAUCUCAUGAAAAUGAUCACAAAUAGCUCAAACGUGGCCCACAAGGCAGAUUUGGGGCU
RNAcentral lists this long non-coding RNA (242 nucleotides) under Sorghum bicolor (sorghum). Its description in RNAcentral is "long non-coding RNA (SBIC_LNC008326)". Lineage: Eukaryota; Viridiplantae; Streptophyta; Magnoliopsida; Poales; Poaceae. The record is from RNAcentral.